UUCCCCUACGGGAGGCAGCAGUGAGGAAUAUUGGUCAAUGGGCGAGAGCCUGAACCAGCCAAGUCGCGUGAGGGAAGACGGUCCUAUGGAUUGUAAACCUCUUUUGUCGGGGAGCAAGACCCGCCUCGUGCAGGCGGAGCGAGAGUACCCGAAGAAAAAGCAUCGGCUAACUCCGUGCCAGCAGCCGCGGUAAUACGGAGGAUGCGAGCGUUAUCCGGAUUUAUUGGGUUUAAAGGGUGCGC
This 242-nucleotide ribosomal RNA is filed under the name uncultured bacterium. RNAcentral describes it as "partial 16S ribosomal RNA". It matches the Rfam family "Bacterial small subunit ribosomal RNA", at positions 334 to 572 of the family's 1533-position model. The record is from RNAcentral.